Molecule: ribosomal RNA, 474 nt
Filed under: uncultured bacterium
Lineage: Bacteria
Description: partial 16S ribosomal RNA
Rfam family: Bacterial small subunit ribosomal RNA
Source: RNAcentral
GACGAACGCUGGCGGCGUGCUUAACACAUGCAAGUCGAGCGGUAAGGCUCCUUCGGGAGUACACGAGCGGCGAACGGGGGAGUAACACGGGAGUAAGCUGCCCUCCUCUUCGGGAUAACCACCGGAAACGGGGGCUAAUACCGUAUACGACCAGUCGUUGCAUGAGGUGCUGGGGGAAAGUCUUUUCGGUGCAGGAUUUGCUUGCGGCCUAUCGGCUUGUGGUUCGGGUAAUGGCCUAUCGAGGCGUCGACGGGUAGCCGGCCUGAGCGUGUGACCGGUCACCCUGGUCCUGAUACACGGCGCACGCUCCUACGGGAGUCAGCAGUGGCGAAUAUCGGAGAGUGACCGAAAGCCUGAUCCUGCACCGACGCGUGAGGCAUGACGGCCUUGGGGUUCUAAUGCUCCUUCAGUACCGAGGAAGCGGCCUGUCGGGUGGUGACGGUAGGUUCAGAAUAAGGACCGGCCAACUACGUG